Molecule: ribosomal RNA, 466 nt
Filed under: uncultured bacterium
Lineage: Bacteria
Description: partial 16S ribosomal RNA
Rfam family: Bacterial small subunit ribosomal RNA
Source: RNAcentral
GAUGAACGCUGGCGGCGUGCUUAACACAUGCAAGUCGAACGGAAAGGCUCCUGCUUGCAGGGGUACUCGAGUGGCGAACGGGUGAGUAACACGUGGGUGAUCUGCCCAGCACUUCGGGAUAAGCCUGGGAAACUGGGUCUAAUACCGGAUAGGACGAUGGUUUGGAUGCCAUUGUGGAAAGUUUUUUCGGUGUGGGAUGAGCUCGCGGCCUAUCAGCUUGUUGGUGGAGUAAUGGCCUACCAAGGCGUCGACGUGUAGCCGGCCUGAGAGGGUGUACGGCCACAUUGGGACUGAGAUACGGCCCAGACUCCUACGGGAGGCAGCAGUGGGGAAUAUUGCACAAUGGGCGCAAGCCUGAUGCAGCGACGCCGCGUGGGGGAUGACGGCCUUCGGGUUGUAAACUCCUUUCGCUAGGGACGAAGCGCAAGUGACGGUACCUGGAGAAGAAGCACCGGCUAACUACGUG